UACAGAGGUCUCAAGCGUUGUUCGGAUUCAUUGGGCGUAAAGGGUGCGUAGGCGGCGCGGUAAGUCGGGUGUGAAAUCUUGGAGCUUAACUCCGAAACUGCAUUCGAUACUGCCGUGCUUGAGGACUGGAGAGGAGACUGGAAUUUACGGUGUAGCGGUGAAAUGCGUAGAUAUCAGGAGGAACACCGAUGGCGAAGGCAGGUCUCUGGGCCACUACUGACGCUGAGAAGCGAAAGCAUGGGGAGCGAACAGG
RNAcentral lists this ribosomal RNA (253 nucleotides) under uncultured bacterium. RNAcentral's name for it is "partial 16S ribosomal RNA". It matches the Rfam family "Bacterial small subunit ribosomal RNA", at positions 524 to 776 of the family's 1533-position model. The record is from RNAcentral.